AACGAACGCUGGCGGCAUGCCUAACACAUGCAAGUCGAACGGGACCUUCGGGUCUAGUGGCGCACGGGUGCGUAACGCGUGGGAACCUGCCCUUAGGUUCGGAAUAACUCCCCGAAAGGGGUGCUAAUACCGGAUAAUGUCUUCGGACCAAAGAUUUAUCGCCUUUGGAUGGGCCCGCGUUGGAUUAGCUAGUUGGUAGGGUAAAAGCCUACCAAGGCGACGAUCCAUAGCUGGUCUGAGAGGAUGAUCAGCCACACUGGGACUGAGACACGGCCCAGACUCCUACGGGAGGCAGCAGUGGGGAAUAUUGGAAAAUGGGCGAAAGCCUGAUCCAGCAAUGCCGCGUGAGUGAUGAAGGCCUUAGGGUUGUAAAGCUCUUUUACCCGGGAUGAUAAUGACAGUACCGGGAGAAUAAGCUCCGGCUAACUCCGUG
Molecule: ribosomal RNA, 433 nt
Filed under: uncultured bacterium
Lineage: Bacteria
Description: partial 16S ribosomal RNA
Rfam family: Bacterial small subunit ribosomal RNA
Source: RNAcentral